ACUGGGCACAGACCUCCACCAUGGAGAGGGAUCUGAUCUGGGUUUUCCUUGUGGCCAUUUUAAAAGGUGUGCUGUGUGAGGUGAAGCUGGUGGAGUCUGGGGGAGGCUUGGUGCAGCCUAGUGGGUCCCUGAGACUCUCCUGUGCAGCCUCCGGAUUCACCUUCAGUGGUUAUUGGAUGAACUGGCUCUGCCUGGCUCCAGGGAAGAGGCUGGAGUGGGUUUCUUCCAUCUAUGAUAGUAGUAGGAUACACUACGCAGACUCCAUGAAGGGUCGCUUCACCGUCUCCAAAGACAACAGCAAGAACACAGUUCACCUGCAGAUGAACAGCCUGAGAGUGGAGGACUUGGCCAUCUAUUACUGUGCUACAGACACAGUGCAGGAAAUCCAGACACAAACCUCCCUGCAGGGAAUUCAGCACCAACAGGGGGCGCUCAGCACACACUGA
Molecule: non-coding RNA, 446 nt
Organism: Dipodomys spectabilis (banner-tailed kangaroo rat)
Lineage: Eukaryota; Metazoa; Chordata; Mammalia; Rodentia; Heteromyidae
Source: the annotation of a RefSeq genome assembly